GAUGAACGCUGGCGGCGUGCCUAAUACAUGCAAGUCGAGCGAACAGACGAGGAGCUUGCUCCUCUGACGUUAGCAGCGGACGGGUGAGUAACACGUGGAUAACCUACCUAUAAGACUGGGAUAACUUCGGGAAACCGGAGCUAAUGCCGGAUAAUAUAUUGAACCGCAUGGUUCAAUAGUGAAAGACGGUUUUGCUGUCACUUAUAGAUGGAUCCGCGCCGCAUUAGCUAGUUGGUAAGGUAACGGCUUACCAAGGCAACGAUGCGUAGCCGACCUGAGAGGGUGAUCGGCCACACUGGAACUGAGACACGGUCCAGACUCCUACGGGAGGCAGCAGUAGGGAAUCUUCCGCAAUGGGCGAAAGCUUGACGGAGCAACGCCGCGUGAGUGAUGAAGGUCUUCGGAUCGUAAAACUCUGUUAUUAGGGAAGAACAAAUGUGUAAGUAACUAUGCACGUCUUGACGGUACCUAAUCAGAAAGCCACGGCUAACUACGUG
This 497-nucleotide ribosomal RNA is filed under the name uncultured bacterium. RNAcentral's name for it is "partial 16S ribosomal RNA". It matches the Rfam family "Bacterial small subunit ribosomal RNA", at positions 28 to 507 of the family's 1533-position model. The record is from RNAcentral.